RNAcentral lists this ribosomal RNA (301 nucleotides) under uncultured bacterium. RNAcentral's name for it is "partial 16S ribosomal RNA". It matches the Rfam family "Bacterial small subunit ribosomal RNA", at positions 509 to 807 of the family's 1533-position model. The record is from RNAcentral.
CAGCCGCCACGGUAACACGAGGGGUGCAAGUGUUAUUCGGAUUGAUUGGGUGUAAAGGGUGUGCAGACGGCUUAUUAAGUCACUUGUUAAAUUCUUCGGCCUAACUGAAGGUCUGCAAGUGAUACUGAUGAGCUAGAGGGUGGAAGAGAGAAGUGGAAUUCUCGGAGUAGCGGUAAAAUGCGUAGAUCUCGAGAGGAACACCAAUGGCGAAGGCAGCUUCUUGGUCCAUUCCUGACGUUCAUACACGAAAGCGUGGGGAGCAAACAGGAUUAGAUACCCGCGUAGUCCCUGUCUCUUAUAC